GAGUUUGAUCCUGGCUCAGAACGAACGCUGGCGGCAGGCCUAACACAUGCAAGUCGAACGCUCGUAGCAAUACGAGAGUGGCAGACGGGUGAGUAACACGUGGGAACCUUCCCUAUGGUUCGGAAUAGCUCAGGGAAACUUGGGGUAAUACCGGAUAAGCCCUUCGGGGGAAAGAUUUAUCGCCAUUGGAUGGGCCCGCGUCGGAUUAGCUAGUUGGUGAGGUAACGGCUCACCAAGGCAACGAUCCGUAGCUGGUCUGAGAGGAUGAUCAGCCACACUGGGACUGAGACACGGCCCAGACUCCUACGGGAGGCAGCAGUGGGGAAUAUUGGACAAUGGGCGCAAGCCUGAUCCAGCCAUGCCGCGUGAGUGACGAAGGUCUUCGGAUUGUAAAACUCUUUUGGCGGGGACGAUAAUGACGGUACCGCAGAAUAGGCCCCGGCUAACUUCGUGCCAGCCGCCGCUGUAAU
RNAcentral lists this ribosomal RNA (470 nucleotides) under uncultured Alphaproteobacteria bacterium. Its description in RNAcentral is "bacterial SSU rRNA". It matches the Rfam family "Bacterial small subunit ribosomal RNA", at positions 9 to 524 of the family's 1533-position model. Lineage: Bacteria; Pseudomonadati; Pseudomonadota; Alphaproteobacteria. The record is from RNAcentral.